Molecule: signal recognition particle RNA, 117 nt
Filed under: Pan paniscus (pygmy chimpanzee)
Lineage: Eukaryota; Metazoa; Chordata; Mammalia; Primates; Hominidae
Also listed under: 1 other name
Description: Metazoan signal recognition particle RNA
Rfam family: Metazoan signal recognition particle RNA
About the family: The signal recognition particle (SRP) is a universally conserved ribonucleoprotein. It is involved in the co-translational targeting of proteins to membranes.
Source: Rfam by way of RNAcentral
GCUGGGCGUGGUGGCUCACGCCUGUAAUCCCAGCACUUUGGGAGGCUGAGGCAGGUGGAUCACCUGAGGUCAGGAGUUUGAGACCAGCCUGGCCAACAUGGUGAAACCCUGUCUCUA